GGCCACUUCGGGCGCCUUAAAUGGUAAGAAAACGUGGGUUAUACGGGUCUCGUGGUGAUUAUUUUUAAUGCUUUGUGUCUAUUACAUAAUAAAUUGAAACGCAAGCAAUUCGAGAGAGCAUGGUGAGUACCAGCAGGACUCCAAACCCACAAAACAAAGAAACGUAAAAAAUAAAAGAAACAUACCCCAACUCCCUACUCCAAAACCAUCCCCGGUGGGAGUGACGUGAUGUAGGUCUGACAAGCAUGAUGUGUUCCAACAAACCGAAUUAGUAAUCAUCAUACGGUUGGAGCAUCUUCAAGAAUUAUCGGUAGCAACCAUCCAG
RNAcentral lists this long non-coding RNA (325 nucleotides) under Brassica rapa (field mustard). Its description in RNAcentral is "long non-coding RNA (BRAP_LNC003727)". The record is from RNAcentral. Lineage: Eukaryota; Viridiplantae; Streptophyta; Magnoliopsida; Brassicales; Brassicaceae.